Molecule: ribosomal RNA, 490 nt
Filed under: uncultured bacterium
Lineage: Bacteria
Description: partial 16S ribosomal RNA
Rfam family: Bacterial small subunit ribosomal RNA
Source: RNAcentral
AUUGAACGCUGGCGGCAGGCCUAACACAUGCAAGUCGAACGGUAACAGGAAGAAGCUUGCUUCUUUGCUGACGAGUGGCGGACGGGUGAGUAAUGUCUGGGAAACUGCCUGAUGGAGGGGGAUAACUACUGGAAACGGUAGCUAAUACCGCAUAACGUCGCAAGACCAAAGAGGGGGAGCUUCGGGCCUCUUGCCAUCGGAUAUUCCCAGAUGGGAUUAGCUAGUAGGUGGGGUAACGGCUCACCUAGGCGACGAUCCCUAGCUGGUCUGAGAGGAUGACCAGCCACGCUGGAACUGAGACACGGUCCAGACUCCUACGGGAGGCAGCAGUGGGGAAUAUUGCACAAUGGGCGAGAGCCUGAUGCAGCCAUGCCGCGUGUAUGAAGAAGGCCUUCGGGUUGUAAAGUACUUUCAGCGGGGAGGAAGGGAGUAAAGUUAAUACCUUUACUCAUUGACGUUACCCGCAGAAGAAGCACCGGCUAACUCCGUG